This 466-nucleotide ribosomal RNA is filed under the name uncultured bacterium. RNAcentral's name for it is "partial 16S ribosomal RNA". It matches the Rfam family "Bacterial small subunit ribosomal RNA", at positions 339 to 795 of the family's 1533-position model. The record is from RNAcentral.
CUACGGGAGGCAGCAGUGGGGAAUAUUGGACAAUGGGGGAAACCCUGAUCCAGCAAUGCCGCGUGUGUGAAGAAGGCCUGCGGGUUGUAAAGCAUUUUCGGUUGGGAGGACUGCUUCUAGCAUUAAUAUUGUUGGAAGUUGAUGUUACCUUCAGAAGAAGUACUGGCUAACUCCGUGCCAGCAGCCGUGGUAGAUACGGAGGGUGCAAGUGUUAAUCGGAAUUACUGGGCGUAAAGCGCGCGUAGGCGGCUAGAUCAGUCGGGUGUGAAAGCCCCGGGCUUAACCUGGGAACUGCAUCCGAUACUGUCUAGCUUGAGUACAGGAGAGGAGAGUGGAAUUCCACAUGUAGCGGUGAAAUGCGUAGAUAUGUGGAGGAACACCAAUGGCGAAGGCAGCUCUCUGGCCUGAUACUGACGCUGAGGUGCGAAAGCGUGGGGAGCAAACAGGAUUAGAUACCCGGGUAGUC